GUCGAACCCGCAAUCUUUUGAUUAGAAGUCAAACGCGUU
This 39-nucleotide transfer RNA is filed under the name Debaryomyces hansenii var. hansenii. RNAcentral's name for it is "partial transfer RNA". The record is from RNAcentral. Lineage: Eukaryota; Fungi; Ascomycota; Pichiomycetes; Serinales; Debaryomycetaceae.